This 88-nucleotide non-coding RNA is filed under the name human gut metagenome. RNAcentral describes it as "TPP riboswitch (THI element)". It matches the Rfam family "TPP riboswitch aptamer (THI element)", at positions 9 to 90 of the family's 105-position model. From Rfam's summary of the family: Vitamin B(1) in its active form thiamin pyrophosphate (TPP) is an essential coenzyme that is synthesised by coupling of pyrimidine and thiazole moieties in bacteria. The previously detected thiamin-regulatory element, thi box was extended, resulting in a new, highly conserved RNA secondary structure, the THI element, which is widely distributed in eubacteria and also occurs in some archaea. The record is from RNAcentral.
AACAGGGGAGCUUGUGUGACAGGCUGAGAGGAAGGAAUGACCUUCGACCCUUUAACCUGAUACGGAUAAUGCCGUCGUAGGAAGUCAU